GACGAACGCUGGCGGCGUGCCUAAUACAUGCCAGUUGAGCGCUGAAGGUUGGUACUUGUACCGACUGGAUGAGCAGCGAACGGGUGAGUAACGCGUGGGGAAUCUGCCUUUGAGCGGGGGACAACAUUUGGAAACGAAUGCUAAUACCGCAUAAAAACUUUAAACACAAGUUUUAAGUUUGAAAGAUGCAAUUGCAUCACUCAAAGAUGAUCCCGCGUUGUAUUAGCUAGUUGGUGAGGUAAAGGCUCACCAAGGCGAUGAUACAUAGCCGACCUGAGAGGGUGAUCGGCCACAUUGGGACUGAGACACGGCCCAAACGCCUACGGGAGGCAGCAGUAGGGAAUCUUCGGCAAUGGACGAAAGUCUGACCGAGCAACGCCGCGUGAGUGAAGAAGGUUUUCGGAUCGUAAAACUCUGUUGGUAGAGAAGAACGUUGGUGAGAGUGGAAAGCUCAUCAAGUGACGGUAACUACCCAGAAAGGGACGGCUAACUACGUG
This 497-nucleotide ribosomal RNA is filed under the name uncultured bacterium. Its description in RNAcentral is "partial 16S ribosomal RNA". It matches the Rfam family "Bacterial small subunit ribosomal RNA", at positions 28 to 507 of the family's 1533-position model. The record is from RNAcentral.